Molecule: non-coding RNA, 4155 nt
Organism: Durio zibethinus
Lineage: Eukaryota; Viridiplantae; Streptophyta; Magnoliopsida; Malvales; Malvaceae
Source: RefSeq, a predicted model, not a curated record
AAUUAGAAGAUCAACCCAACAGCCCAAGGCCCACAAUUUGAAUUUUUCUCUAGAGGGAAAAGAAACCAAAGUCACGAACCCCUACACUUUCGGCCGAAAAGAAAAAGAAGGCUACCUCGCGAAUCAGAAUCGCUAGUAUCAGUAUGUACUGAAAUCUCAACGACACAAAUGUCCGAAGAAAAUGUUAAUUUCGCGCCUGUCCCGCACGCCACCAAUCAGACUCCGCAGCUACUAACACCUCGGAUUUCUCAGAAUUUCAGAGCCGCCAAGCCUUUCCUCUAUCGUAAACGGGCUCGCGAUGAUGGCUAUCUUUACCGUCAUUCCCCUUCAGGACAUAGUGAUGGAAUUGAAAGCAAAUUGUCAGCUUCAGAUACUGGCAUCAAAAGAGUUCCUCUUAUGGAGAUGCCUACCAACAUACCAUCCCCCUUUUCUACCACUGGAUACAAGUCAAUAAAAAGUCAACAUGGUGAGUUUUCGAAUGUCAGAUCGGUGGCUGGUUCUAUGGACACUGGAUGCUUGUCUGAUCCUUUUAUAACCCCUAUAAAACAACCACAUGCCUCUAAUUUAAGUGAUUCGUUCUUGACACCUAGCCUUCUAGAUGAGGAUUUUGAUGAAUCUAUUUUAGAAGAAAUUGAUGCAAUUUGUGAGAAGCAGUCUGCAGGAAAAACAGAAAGGGAGGAUCUAAAUGUCAAAGUUGACAUGGGAGGUCAGCAAAAUGAUAAUGAUAUUUGUAAUGAUCAUAUUGCUCUUUCGGCUCUUACUACAAAUGAGAAUGUAAGAGCAGAAAGUGCAGUUGAUAUCAGGAAUUAUUUUGGGUUAAAAGAGGAGGAUCUAAGUAGUUUGGGGGCUACACAGAGUGGGAAUAUGCCCGAUGAAUAUUCAAAAUACUUGCAAUCUUUGAAUGAUAGACAGCGUGAAGCAGCUUCUAGUGAUAUAUCAAUCCCUUUAAUGAUUGUUGCGGGUCCAGGAAGUGGAAAGACUUCCACAAUGGUUGGGCGUGUUCUGAUGUUGCUUAAUGAGGGUGUUAGUCCAUCAAACAUCUUGGCAAUGACUUUCACUACAGCUGCUGCUUCUGAAAUGAGAGAUCGUAUUGGUGCAGUGGCUGGAAAGGCUAGGGCUAAAGAACUUACAAUCAGCACAUUCCAUUCAUUCUCUUUGCAGCUAUGUCGUUCACAUGCAGAGAAGUUAGAGCGCACAUCAGAGUUUCUAAUAUAUGGACAUGGGCAACAAAGAAGAGCAAUCGUUGAGGCAGUGAGGUUACUAGAUAAUUCAAAAAGUGGAAAAAAGUAUGAUUCUUGCAAGUCCACUGGAAUUGAAAAUUCUAAUGGUAUGAGACAUCCAGGAUAUUUUAAGGAUAGAUCAAAGAAAUGGCAGAAGUUUGUGACUCAGGCAAAAGCUUCCGGAAAGACUCCUGAAGAGUACCGUAAAAUGGGUGAUGAAAUAGGAGCUGAAGUUCUCGGAAAUUAUAAUGACAUAUUAAGAUCGUGCAAUGCUUUAGAUUAUCAUGACCUAAUCAGUUGCUCAGUGAAGCUCCUCACUCAAUAUCCUGAAGUGUUCAAGCAGUGCCAGGAUUCAUGGAAAGCCAUCAUAGUAGAUGAAUUUCAGGAUACCAGUGCAAUGCAAUACGGUCUUCUGCAGAUUCUUGCAUCCCAUCAUCACAUAACAAUUGUUGGUGAUGAUGACCAGUCUAUUUUCAGCUUCAAUGGAGCUGACAUUUCUGGUUUUGAUUCAUUUUGCAAAGAUUUUCCAAACUACAAAGAGAUAAGACUUAUCAGAAACUAUCGAUCCACACGAUGUAUCGUUGAGGCUGCAUCAUGUCUUAUACAAAAUAACACAAAACGAUGUCUGUCAAAGAAUUUUCUUUCAGCAAAUUCCUAUGGCUCCAAGAUCACAAUCAAGGAAUGCUACAAUGAGGAUGCACAAUGUGCCUUUGUUGUUGACAAGAUCUUGGAAACUGCAGCUAACAGUGCAGUUGGUACUUCCUCCUAUGGAAGUAUUGCAAUUCUUUACCGGAGGCAGGUCUCAGGAAAAGUUUUUCAAACUACAUUCCGCAACAGGAAAAUACCAUUUAAUCUUCAUGGUGUGGCUUUUUACAGGAAAAAGGUAGUUAGAGCUAUUAUUGCCAUGCUUAAAACAGCAUUGCCUGCUUGUGAUGAUAGUUCCUAUCGUAAAGUGUUCAAGGCUUUGCUUCCUUUUGAAAAAGAGGAAAAGAAGAGGGUAAUUGACCACAUAGAAAAAAUUAGCACAUGUAGAAAAUGCAGCUUCUUAUCAGCUGCCUGUGACAUCUUUAGCGCAAAGAUUUCUGGUACCUUCAAGAGAAUUCAACUUACACAAGGUCGUAAAGUGCUACUGACAUUGGAAAUGAUAUCAAAACUUGUCCACCGGGAACAAUCAAUUUCAGCUGUCAUAACUUCAGUAUCAAACAUUAUACCUCAGAAAUACCUUCUUGAACAACGUGCUGUCAUAGACGUUGAUGGAGGAAAACUACUCAAUGAGGACAAUGAUGUUAGAUCUGUUCUCCAGUACCUACUUGAUGAUGUUUCUGAUUUCCUGUCUACACACUUUACUGAUAGAGAAGAGAAGAGAGAGAUUGGAAAAGAAAAGGGCUGUGUCAGUUUACUAAAUUCUUUCAUUGACUACAUAACAGAGCGUGAGAGAGAAAAUUUUCGUUCUCGAAGACAUGACAAUGAAAAUUCCGUUACCUUGACUACCAUUCAUCAAUCAAAAGGCUUAGAAUGGGAUAUGGUCUUCAUUGUGAAGGCAAAUGAAACAGAGAUUCCUUUGUCAAAUGAAUUCAACGGCACUGCUACUGAAAAUGGGACAUUAGUUGAGGAGGAACGACGCCUUUUAUAUGUCGCAAUGACCCGUGCUCGUCAAAAGCUUUUCAUUCUCUAUGUUACAAUGGAUUCGAAUUGGCAGAUGCUUCAACCUUCACGGUUUCUUAAAGAAAUUCCAGAUCAUCUUCGAGAAAGUCAGGCUGACGCAAGCAUGAAUGAUUUAAAAACCACACAUCAAGUCAUUCCAAAUGAAACUGCACAGUUUACCACUGAUCUGCCAAGCGAAAAGCAAUCACGCGAAGCAGACAUGGUGCAAAACAAUUUCCUUGAUGCUCAAAGUAGUGCAGCCUCAAAAGAGCCUAUAGAAUCAGUUGAGGCAUGCAACGGAAGUAGUUUUUUAAGAAGGUUCAGUGUGGAGGAGAGAUCAAUUGUUUCCCACUUAUUCCAUCAAUGGGCCAAGAAGCAAGCCUUUCAAGAGCCUAGGAGGUUGCUUGACAAGGUUCGCUUUGUAAUCGAUGAGCGUCUGAGAGUCAAAAAUUAUAAGCACAAGGAAGUUCUGCAUGCAUUAAGGCCAUGUUUGAGCUGUGAGGAAGCAUUUCACUACGCAGAAUAUGUAGUGAAGUGGGAGCAAAUUCCUGCUGAUAGACGUGCUCACUUGAUGCGGGAGAAACAGGAGCAUUUCCAGAAACUAAGGAUGGAGAAUUCGAUGGGUUCAUCAGCGGCAACAUCGAAACAGAUUGCCUAUCUGCAAAGUUUGGGCUGCACUGUCAUUCCUACUUCAAGACUGCAUGCUUCUCGUCUGAUUGAACAGUACAAAUCGCUGUGACUUCACAACAAAAACACCCAGAUCCAGUUACAUGGAUGGUAUAUUUUUCCAAUAACCAGAUGUGAACAAGAAGAAUGAGAGAGUAACAAUGCACCUCUAAUCAAGUGGGUAAACCCUCUUACGAUUAAUGUCGUUGAAGAAAUCAGCUGGCAGAAUCGAACCUAUGACUUCAUCGCCAUCACUGAGCGAAGCAAUCUCUUUAUUUUCACUUCAAUUUUAGAACUAAGGAAAAUUUUGGGCAAUUCAUUAUUGAGUGAUGCUAAAAUCAUAGCUUGUGAAUCUGCUUAACUAUGAGUUGGAUUUGAAAGAAUGCUAAUUUUUUUAAUUAAGAAUCGCGUGAUGAAAUUGGAAAAAAAUCUUAGGACAACUUCCUACAGAGCUUUUUAAUUAAAGGCUAUGGAUGAGAAUAACAUUUCCUUUCUGAUAAUGACUGAUUUUACAUAAAUGGAGGACUACUCUUCGAUGGAAUAUGAUACCAGAUUAGCACUCGAAUUAACAUGUCAUAUUGUGGUUUGAUUUCCCUUUGGCUAUCGACAAGUUUGAUGUUCUUAG